UGUGGCCUUGUUAGAGUAGGUGUGUCACUGUGGGUAUGGGCUUUAAGACCCUCAUCCUAGCUGCCUGGAAGCCAGUCUUCUAACAGCCUUCAGAUAAAGAUAUAGAACUCUCAGCUCCUCCUGCACCAUGCCUGUCUGGAUGCUGCCAUGCUCCCACCUUGAUUAUAAAUGGACUGAACCUCUGAACUGGUAAGCUACCCCCAGUUAAAUGUCCUUAUAAGAGUUGCCUUGGUUAUUCUUUACAGCAGUAAAACCCUAACUAAGACACUCAUGUACUGAUGAGUGGGGUUAAUGGGAAGGUUACUUUAUUAAGAGUUUUCUAAUGGAAACAUGACUCUGGCCAUCCAUGUCUUUCUCUUGCAGGCUGUGCACAAGACUUAGCGCGGGGCCCAAAGUGCAGGGCCCAAAGCUCUCGCUGUGGCUUUUUCAUCCCACCAUGUGAGUCGAAUUAUCAGAUCAAAGAAUGGCUACAGCUAGUACUGGUGACAGGAGAGAAGGGUCGAAGGCAGGCAGGCAACAGUUAGGGGAAGGGGUAACGGACACCAGGCCCACACAAACCCACAGUCUGUAUUCAGUGUGUAGAGCGUAAAUUAACUGCAGAACCACCUGGCAAGUGAGGCUGUGCUUGGGAGGCCGCAGCUCUUCCUUCGGCCGAUUCUCUGUGUGGGAUAGGACUGUCGAGGGGCUUGUCCUCUCAAAGAUCUUUAGACAGAGGUCUCCCAACCCCACUCUGGAGGGCUCCAAGCUCCCGGGGUCUGGUGGUUGUGGUUGUGGCUACACUCUGCUUACCACAGGAGAUGGUUCUGGAACCGUGCCAGCAGGGAUGUGGCUGGUUUAGCGCUCGGCUUGGUGGCACUGCCACCUACACUGUCCUGCGAGCCUUGGAGCUGCAGUGCUGAUGAACCUUGGGGGGACAUCUAACACAGAAUAACACUCUGGGAGCUCUCCCGUUCUGCAGGGUGAGGACCCUAACCCAUGGGGGUGCUGGAUUUCUGACCAGGAGAGCUGGAGGCAAGGUGUGUUAGAGGCUCUGUGACUCUCAUUCCCAGCUUAGGAAACCAAGACCAGAGAGUGGUUAAGUUAGCACAUGAAAACCAGCCUGGUCUUGAGCGCCCUCCUCUCAGGGGCUAACUCGCUUCUGUUUGAUUAGAUACAUAAAAGCAUAGUUUACUUUUGACUAUAGUCCCAACAGUCAUCCUCUGUGGCCUCCGCAACUGAUCUCUGUGGUUCACUUACUAUCCUGGUCUUCCAGAGUCUCCUUUUUUACUCUCUGGUUUCCAAACCUUCUGGAAGCCCACUCCCGGCCAAAGCAGUGGCUUUUCCUCCAAGAGGGUGUGCGUGGGUGUGCAUCCCAGAGUGUCUCACCCUCCCUUCCAGAUUGUUUCCUCCAUCCUUUUCUCCUUUAUGAGUUUGUCCGUGUGUGUGUGUGUGUGUGUGUGUGUGUGUGUGUGUGUGUGUAGGCCUGAGGUUAAUGUCAGGAACUUUCCUCAAUCAUUCUUCAAUCUUAUUUUUUGAGGCAGAGUCUCUCAUUCAAAUCCAGAGCUCAUAGACAUCACUAGGCUCAUAGGCAGCUUGCUGGGGAACAUCCCUUACCUCUGCCUUUUGAGACUGAGGCUGGAACUGCUUAAAGGCCACCACGCUAGGGGAGCAUCUGUGUGGAUUCUGAUGAUCGGAACUCGGGUCCUAUUGCUUGGAUACCAAAUGUGUUGGCUGCUGGCCCAUUUCCCCAUCCCUCGCUCGGUCUUUGUAAGCUUCCGUUACAUCCCUUACUCUGGUGAUUUGAAUUUAAUGUCCUUACCCCUGAGCCCUGUCAGGCACAGCCAACCAGCAAAGAACUCUGGACUUAGACAGCAAAAACAGAGGUGCUGAUGCCGGCUGCUUUUGCCACAGACUGCUGAGUGUCUCCCGACUCCCGAACCUCGAGAGAGCUGGCAGUGCCCUGCGUGUAUGAAUCAGUAGCACAGAGCGGGAACGGACUACUCUUUAAGAAGUGAUUUUCACAGCCAGCCAGCCAGUUCGUGCGACACUGGAGUGAAAAGUGCAUUUACCACGGCAAACUGAAGGUACUGCACGUGACACUAAGUUCCCAACCCACGGGCAAACAAACACGUCAGAAGCCAUGCCUCCGACCCUUCUCACUGUGGGUCCUUCUCCUUUCCUGAGGUAAAGCCCUCUCCGGGAGCCAGCCUCAGCAGGGGGAUGAUUAGCAGAUGAAACCGUGGGACAUCUGGGCACCAGUGUCUAAACGUGUAAGCUAGUCUACACAAGAGACACAGGAGUGGCCCACGGAAGAACGCUGAAUUUAACGCUUCCUUUCUCUUUGAACAGAUUUUUGAAAACUCUCAAGCGUGAGGGGAAAGGCGUCAGGAUUAUGUGAACUAUUUAUUCUUAGCUGUGACUACGGACAGCGAUAAACUGUAAUUUUACCACCUCUUCAUAGCCAGCAACCAUAAGCUUUUCCUUCAGUUAAAUCAAAUGGAGGGCGGUUGCCAAAAGUAAGAGGCAGCCUGCUGGAUCCCUCUUGAUAGCUGAAGCGACUCGUCCAACCUUCACAGUCUCUUUCUCUUGAAGCCAAACAGCAGACAGGCUGCUGAGGGGACUGGGAGUGCGAUAAAUGACAUGUUUCUUCUCUCAAAUAGCAGAGUGUCGAAGAUGAGCCCAAAGGAGUUCAAGAGACUCCAGAGAAGAGGCUUCAGCUCAGCCAGGCGCAGUAGCUACUCGUGCCCAUUGUCUGUUUGUGCUGUCCUGAAGGACCUUGCUAUCCCCUUCCCACAGACCCCCUGCAGUAGACCAUGACCCACGGAAAAGACCACCCGGCACACCCUUAGCCUCUCUGCUGUAUUCUUUUCCUUCUGCGUUCUUUUGUUCUGACUUGAAUAUUUUCUCCUGAUCUAUUUUAAGUUCUCGGUCUCACCGUGCCUUUGUCUGACAAUUUCUUAUCGCUGUACUGCAUUAGACUCUUCCUUGGGUUUUCCAUCUCUACGCCAAGAUUCUCCGUCAGUUGGAGCGUGCCACUCGUGUCUCUACUGAAUUCUUUUACAUGUCAGUCAUCUUGGUCUUCUCUGAGUCUGCUCCUGUUGACUGCUUUGUCUCUUGACCACGGUUGGUUUGCGUUUCGUCCUAAGUGUGUGUUACGUUAACGAUUAUUAAUUGGCUACAGGUGCCAUGCAUAAGAGCAGGGGACAUGGAAGCACUUAUCUAUCAUUUCUGGCUGGAAACAGAUUUGGUUCAUCUGUGCCUUGGUAGGUGGGAGUUAGGUGCUAUGGUGGUUUGAAUGUGCGUGGCCCCCAUGGGCUCAUGUGUUUGAAUGCUUGGCUCAUGGGGAGUGGCACUAUUAGGAGCUAUGCCCUUGUUGGAGUGGGCGUGGCCUCGUCGAAGGAAGUGUGCCACUGUGGGGGUGGGCUUUGAGGUCUCUGUGAUCAAUCAAGGCCCAGUGUGAGCCACUCUCCUCCUUCCAGCUGCAGAAUAAGAUGUAGAACUCUUAGCUUCUUCUUCAGUACUAUGUCUGUUUGGAUGUUGCCAUGUCUCCUGCCAUGAUAAUAAUGGGCUAAAUGUGUGAAACUGUAAGCCAGCCUGAAUUCAAUGCUUUCCUUUGUGAGAGUUGACUUGGUCAAGGUGUACCUUCAAGGCAACGGAACCCUGAUCAAAACAGGAGCUUACCUGGGUUUGAGUCUUAUUAUAUUUGGUCUGUCAGCCUCCACACUCCUCUCAAAGGAGGCUGCAGUCAUCAUGAGUUUGAUGUAGGGGUUAGGGUCCCAGAAGUGUUUCAGUGUUCCUGAUCUCCCAGCUUCCAACUCUUCUAGGUACCUAUGCCUCAGGUGAACUUAUUUCUCUGUCUUGCUUCUCUCCUGGUGACAAUGUGUUCUUCCUGGUGACACAGACUGGUAGUGGUAAGCAAAUUCCAUUAUGGUCCAGCUUCAGUCUUAGACAGGCUCUGUGUGUCUGCACCUCAAGGGUAGGGUCCUUUAUUUGCCUUGUCUGUCCUGGGCCUGAAUGGGUAUUCCUCGCAUGUCCUUAUAUCCUCUAGCAGAGGGAGAGACCUGCUUGUUACUGGGGCAGGAAACCUGGACCUAGGACAGUUGCUGGCCUCCCCAGGAUCACAGGAUAUGCAGAGGUGCUGAUGCAAACCAAGCUGACACAAGUAAGCCUCUGUCCCUCGGCAGAAGCAGUCGGCUUCUACUCCUCCUCGGAAGAACGGCGUCUAUAUGCAAUCUGGAGUGUGGGGGCAGGUCCGUUUGGAAUCAAUAGAGGAUUCCUGGGAACCUGCAAGUCUCUUCCUCUGCCGCCUUCCACUAAUCACACAGAACACUCAAGGCCUAGGGGGCUUCUCUGUGGUAUCCAGUAUUUCCCAUGAGCACUCAGUUAAGGCAUGGUGUUAACAGUUUGCUGUAGACACUGUGACCUCUAAGAGUUGUCAGGGUUUUGCCUUGCAGGGGUAACUGCUUCUGCAUGUUCUCUAAGUGGAGAUGGUGCCUAUGGAUUCCUCUCUGGAAUCCAGGUUACUUAGCUGCUGUUACUCCCUUGGCUCUCAGCUGAUUUCAAGAGGAUUUGUAAUAUUGUGGGUUAUCUGUUCUGUUUCCACACAAUUAGGGCAAAAACAAUGCCUUCUGAAGCUUCCACCCCCCCCCCCACACACACACACUUCUUGUCUGGAGUCUUCAAGACCCCGGGACUUCAUACAUUUUCCUGACACAAUGACCUUGAAGAGAUGGUCUCUUUGAAGGGCACAAAUGUUCACAGUAUCUUCACAGCAGCUUUCUUCUUGUCUCCUUGGACCCCCCCCCCAUUUGAGUAAAAAUGUUCACUUUAGAUCACUCUUCUGAGAAGCAGUGUCUGGUGGAGGAGGAACGUCCAGUGAGCCUGUGUGCAGCUGCUCCCAACGGUUCUUAAGAUAUUCUCAAGUCACAUUCUGCCCGCAUGACUUAACUUGGAGUAUUUUCUUGUACCAACUGUGAGGGAGGGAUUCCAUUGGCAGGAACAUGAUUCCUGACAUUUGUUCUCAGUAAACUGUUCCUCUGUUUAGCUGCUCUGAUUGCCCCAAUUACACUAAUUGACUUCCAAAUGUACAAAUACAGUUGACAUGUCACCAGAAACUUAGCACUUAUCCAGUCAGGAGCAGAAGGGAGGCUUCAGGCAGUAAGCACCUGGUGUCCCGAGGUUCCACAGCUCACGGGGAGUGGAAGGGAUACCUCAGAGGCUGAUGCUGAUGGUUCCAGAACACUCGGCCCUCAUGCCUCCUGUUCGCUCAUUUCACCCCGUCGAGGAGCACAGAGCCUCAGAUGUCGUCCUCUGACCAAUGGCCCACAGCUCCCACCUCAAAGUUUGUCUUGAUUAUGGUCACUAUUGCUGUGCUGAAACACCGUGACCAAAAGCAACUUGGGGAGGAAAGGGUUUAUGAGCUUUAUACCUACACAUCACUGUUCAUCACUGAAGGAAGUCAGGGCAAGAACUCAACAGAGCAUCCCUCUUUCAAAAUGACCGUACCGGUUUUAAGAAGACGCAAAACUAUCCAGGACACAAAGCAACAACAAAAAGGAGGAAUCAGGUAGCAAUUGUACUCCUGAUGUGGUCGGGAUGACGCCACGGAGCUUAUGCACUUCGGUUUCUGUUUAGAAUCCCCUUCACCUUUGCAGGUCUUGGCUGAGAAUGAGGGCCAGAGGUGCAGCAGUGGGAAGGGGAGUAUCUAAUUUCCACCGAUCAGAGUAGAAGCCAAGGACCAUCUGGGAAGUGACCAGCACAGCGGCCACUGGUCGGGGGAGCCAGUGAGAACACAGGGAACUCAGGGUGAACCUGGGGUGACUGAGGCAGGAAGUGAGGGAAGCCUGAACUGGAUGACAAAGACACCAUGAAGUCGAGUAAGGGAUACCCCUCAUCACAACUUGGAUUUUUAACCAGACGACCAUCACUGAGGUUCAAACCACUGACUGGAGCAGGGUUAAAAGAGUGAGGCAGGCAAAGCAGGAGGAGCUGCUCCACCCCAGGCGUUCCUGUCACCUAAGGCCAAGCGUACACCUAGGAACAAGAAGGGAGGGUGAGAAGGUGGGGCGGGAGAGAGGAGAGACCAACAGAAGGGAAGGGAGGGUAUGCAGAGGGGCAGGUGGACUCUCGGUAAAAUGUUGCCUUGGACACACAUGGGAGCCAGGUGGGUGGUCUCUUACUCGUGCCUUGUACAGACUGGAACGUCUAGAGACAACAGAAUGUCAUAGAUGGGUAGGAAGGUCAACAGAUAGGAAGGCAGGGGAAAGCAGUCAGAAAGCAAGCAGAGGGGAAGCGGGGGUCCUUUGCACUGUCCUUACAGUACAGUCUCUGUCGAUAUGAAACAAUUGCAGCUUGAAAGAAGACAGGAGGGAGGAAUGGAGGCAAAGGUUUAGAAAGUGUGAAGGAGGCAGCUCUAAGUUCUGAUUAAUGGACUGGGGCUAAGCUAGGUUUUCUGCAAAGCCCUAGCGGAAGGAGUGGUGCCCUAGUGGGCGACCUCACCCACCCAGUCUGUCUGCAGGACCCGUGAAGAGCAGCCUGGAGCAGGGUUCUGGUGCUCUCCGGUAAGUAUAUAACCUGCCCUGCGUGCCAUCGAAUCAUGCCAAGGGAACAGGCUCGACCUCACACGGAUGCCUGCUGAUAAGGGCCUGCCGCCUGCCAUCUUUUCUACUUUAGAGGGUUUAUGCCUCUGCAGAGACCACUUGGUGGGGAGAGUCUGUUAAAAAUAUUCCAUCCUGCCAUUUAAUGACUCAGGAGGCAGAUGGAGCUGAACAACUGUCAGGGUUGGGAGGGGGUUAUCCUUCCCUCCUCUGUAAAGCCUGCAUUCCUCUAGAGAGAGGGACAGUUGAGGAGUGGAGGGAUCCAGGAGGACUGUACCAACGGAGAGAGGGAGGCAGAGCGACAGGAACGAGCUGGUUCCGAGCAUUCUCCCUUCUUCGCCUUAUUACAAUCUAAAUCCAGUUUCCUUCCCAGGUAGCUCUUAAGGAUCACGAUUUAGUCAUACUCAGGAGGAGGGGCGGCAGGGGCUGUCAUCUGUUUCAUUAUCUUAAAGCUAAAACGGACUGCAGCAGUCUCUCAGCCCGGAGGCCAAUCGACCUCCGAUCACCUUCCCUCUGCUGUGUGGCUGCUCAAAAGCUCGCACUGGCCUCCGUGCUCCAAAAUCCCACAGCUCAGCAACAAACCCACCGCUGAGGUUUCAGGGCCCUCGGGAGUGGAGGGGGAGGACGUUCGAGUUCAAGUUAAUGAGAGAACGGGCUCUGGAAUUGAGCUCAGCGGGCUAAGAAUAUCUCCCAUGUACUAGAAAGAUUCCACGUCCGAGAUCUUGAGAUUCCUUUUUUUAAAAAAUCAAGAGAACCAGACCUCCCGAGGAAGGGCAGUAGGAUUAGAGGGGAAAGUCCGGUCUUACCAUUCAUCUCUCUAUCCCAGUAGUGCACAUCUCGAAAAUGGUGACCUGCCUAUCAUCCCGGUAUAGGAACUGAGCAAUCGACAUCCGCAGGAAACACUUUGGAAAAGUGUGACGGUCUUCCUACCACACUGCCAACAGUGGUGCACACGGCGGGGGAGGGGAGACUUUCAGAUGCUGUGCCUCUCUGUACAGUUUUGGUUUGUAAGCAAAGUGUGCAUCCAUCGUGCUGUUAAAUUGUAAAAACCGGGGGCUGGGGAUUUAGCUCAGUGGUAGAGCGCUUACCUAGGAAGCGCAAGGCCCUGGGUUCGGUCCCCAGCUCCGGAAAAAAAAGAACCAAAAAAAAAAAAUUGUAAAAACCGAAACUAAAAUCGGAGACAUGCUUCUAUGCAGCCUACGACCGUACCACCUGAACAUGUCCUAGGUCAAAAGCUGAGCAGGGCUCAGCCUGGCCAGUUUACGGAUGGAGAGGCAUGCCUGUGAACAAUGAAGAAAGGAUCAAGUUCGCCACCAAGUAUUAAGAAUUCCAGGUUAGUAGCUCAGUGGUAGAGCGCUUGCCUAGCAUGCGCGAGGCCCUGGGUUCGGUCCCCAGC
Rattus norvegicus (Norway rat) is the source of this 7971-nucleotide non-coding RNA. The record is from RefSeq and is a predicted model, not a curated record. Lineage: Eukaryota; Metazoa; Chordata; Mammalia; Rodentia; Muridae.